ACAUGUUGUGGCCGACGGCGCGGCUGCCGUUCGUGAAUGCGCCGGUGUAGGUCGUACCCGUGAGGUUCGACACGUCGAACACGUGC
This 86-nucleotide transfer RNA is filed under the name Saltatorellus ferox. RNAcentral's name for it is "Planctomycetes bacterium Poly30 tRNA-Thr". The record is from RNAcentral. Lineage: Bacteria; Pseudomonadati; Planctomycetota; Planctomycetia.